GGAGCAGACGGAAUGAAUAACCUGCCCACAACCCUCAGCAAAAAAUAUGUGGGUGUCAGAACUUGAGUGGGGAAGGAGGGGGAGAAGAGAACCCAGGAGAGAGUGGGGGAGGCACAGGCUCCAGUCAGCAUCUGCUGAGAGGCUCCUGCCCAUCUCCGAGGCAUUCGCAGGGGAAGGCCUGGAAUGAGAGCCUCGGACAAGGAGCAUAGAUUAAGGACCCUGCCUCCCCUCCUCUCACCUGCCCAGACCUGUUGCAUUGGAUACGUAGUGAGGGUCCACCUUCUUGUCUCCCUGAAACAUGUUCUCCUACAUGCCCCAGACUGACUCUCCAGGCCCUUUUUCUAGAAUCACUCAACAUUUUUAGCUGGUACCUCUCCUAAGAAAUUCCAGAGGGAGCACUUUCUUUGAUUGAUCCUGAACUUCUUGGAGGGUCAAAUGUGGAGAAAUGAGGGGACUCCUUUAUUCUAUUAAUAGUAUCCCAGGAGCUGAGGAGCACAAAGACAGCUGUGAUGCAAAGGAAACAUGAUGGGCUUUAAAAUCAGAAGGGCUGAGUUCAGAUUCUACCUGUGCCAUGUAUUACCUGUGUGACCUUAGGCAAGUUGAUUAACUGCUCUGGGCCUCAGUCUUUCCACCCUGAAAAGGGCAAUAAUGACACCCACCUCACAGGAUCAAAUGGCCAAUGUGUUUAAGUGCCUCUUGCAAAUUACAGGGCCCUAAACUAUUGUCAUCAGAAGCAAGUGAAAAAUCUCCAGCUGCUGGAUUCUCUGCGGAAAUAUUUUGACCCCCAGCCAAGCUACUCUUUGCCAAGCUGCAGGAGCUGAUGAAAUAAAUUCUUGUUUUAAUAUCAUCUUUGUUUAAUACUAGAGACAAUUAGGAGAUUAAAUCUGCAACAAAAAGAAAAAUAGUAAUAUAUCACCCUGGAGCCCAAAAGUAGUUUGUUUUGUUUGUUUGUUUGCAUUAACUGCAGUUCUGGGUUAUUUAUUCCCCUUAUUUUAAAGCAAAUGAGAGUUGGUCUCUGUGAUUUAGUUUAAGUUGAUGGAGUAAGGAGGACAAUGAUCAUGUGUGCAUCAUCGGCUCUGUGCUAACCACCGUCUUGUCUAAUUUCAUUCUCAUUAUGGCCUCUGAGAGAAACAUGAUUAUCUUCAUAGAGAAGAGAAUCAGAGGCUCAGAAAGGUUAAGUAACAUGCCCAGGGAAGCACAGCUAGUAAAUGGCAGAGGUGGGAUUUGAUUUCAGGACUGCCUGACUCCAGAGCCUAUGUUCAGAGGGACCAUUGGAGGGCAAACCCAGGGCCCAGUUGAAGGGGUUCCCAUCUUAAGAUGCUCUACAGGCACAGGCUCAGGGCUUUCAUUUCUUCCUUGCUCAUUAACAAGCCAUAUUGGUGUCCCUUGGCGCUUGACAGCCCCCUCGGUGGCACCCUCAGGUCUCAGCGGAGGAGGUGGAGCCCCCGGAGAGCUCAUCGUCAACUGGACGGUAAGCUGCAAGGGUCAGAUGUCCUCCUCCUCCUCCCCGACUCCUCUCCUGCUUGAGCAGCUGCAGAAGGGACCACUGCACAGCUCUGACUCAAACGCGGAUAACUUCCUGUCCCCCUUCCACGCACCCGCUGCCCCUUACGCGAAUCCACGCUGCAGGCGCAGGCGUCCAGGGCCGCUACUCUUGGCAAAGGUUGGGUGGGGACAGGGAACGGGCAGGGACACGUGCCGCGGACCCUCGCCCAUGCCACGCUCUUGCCCCUCAGCCCAUGUCACGGGAGUACCAGAACGGAGACGGCUUCGGCUACCUGCUGUCCUUCCGCAGGCAGGGCAGCACUCACUGGCAGACCGCCCGGGUGCCCGGCGCCGAUGCCCAGUACUUCGUCUACAGCAACGAGAGCGUCCGGCCCUACACGCCCUUUGAGGUCAAGAUCCGCAGCUACAACCGCCGCGGGGAUGGGCCCGAGAGCCUCACUGCACUCGUGUACUCAGCUGAGGAAGGUGGGCUGCCCCCGGGCCCACUGCUCGUCCCUACCCCAGCCACUUGUCCACAGGGGUGUGGGGUGGAGGAACGCUGCUCAUCUCCCAGCUCAGUUCCAUAGGAUGAGGUUGAGAGGACACCUGGGUUCCACACCACUGGCCUCACUUCCAGCUCUUGCUACCUUGUCUCCCUUCGGGGUUAGGAAAAGGGAGGCUGUCUGGGAAGAGAAGUGGGCCCUGGAGCAUUGCUUGGGGUGCUCCCACUCGGCCUUCAUCCUGAAGACUUUCCUCCAAAAUCUUAAGCAAAGGCCAUCCUGGUUGGGGCUGCUCUGCAGGACACAGGGGAGCCUUGGGAAUCCAAACCCAUUCUGUAUUGGUCCCCAGAGCCCAGGGUGGCCCCUACCAAGGUGUGGGCCAAAGGGGUCUCAUCCUCAGAGAUGAACGUGACCUGGGAACCCGUGCAGCAGGACAUGAAUGGUAUCCUCCUGGGGUAUGAGGUGAGCACCAACCUGGGGGCUUGGGAGAGGAAGGGGUGCUGGGGCUUCAAAGCCAGGUGGGAACAACUCACAGAUCACUAAUCAUUCCUCCUGGCAUCCCUGGUUCGCUGACAUGGCAAGCUGAGCAUCCAGUCUAUGCAGCACUGUGAAUGCAAAUUUCACUAAGACCCCAUGGCAGGCCGGGCACGGUGGCUCAUGCCUGUAAUCCCAGCACUUUGGGAGGCUGAGGCGGUAGACCUCCUGAGAUCAGGAGUUUGAGACCAGCCUGGCCAACAUGGUGAAGCCCCGCCUCUACUAAAAAUGCAAAAAUUAGCUGGGC
RNAcentral lists this small RNA (2766 nucleotides) under Pongo abelii (Sumatran orangutan). RNAcentral describes it as "retained intron". The record is from RNAcentral. Lineage: Eukaryota; Metazoa; Chordata; Mammalia; Primates; Hominidae.